UACGGAGGGUGCGAGCGUUGUCCGGAAUCACUGGGCGUAAAGGGCGCGUAGGCGGCCGUGUAAGUCACUUGUGAAAUCCCGGGGCUCAACUCCGGGACUGCAGGUGAGACUGCAUGGCUAGAGCUUGGUAGAGGCGAGUGGGAUUCCCGGUGUAGCGGUGGAAUGCGUAGAUAUCGGGAAGAACACCGGUGGCGAAGGCGGCUCGCUGGGCCAAUGCUGACGCUGAGGCGCGAAAGCGUGGGGAGCAAACAGG
This 253-nucleotide ribosomal RNA is filed under the name uncultured bacterium. RNAcentral's name for it is "partial 16S ribosomal RNA". It matches the Rfam family "Bacterial small subunit ribosomal RNA", at positions 524 to 776 of the family's 1533-position model. The record is from RNAcentral.